Molecule: ribosomal RNA, 470 nt
Filed under: uncultured organism
Description: partial 16S ribosomal RNA
Rfam family: Bacterial small subunit ribosomal RNA
Source: RNAcentral
ACUCCUGCGGGAGGCAGCAGUGGGGAAUUUUGGACAAUGGGCGAAAGCCUGAUCCAGCAAUGCCGCGUGAGUGAAGAAGGCCUUCGGGUUGUAAAGCUCUUUUGUCAGGGAAGAAACGGUGAGAGCUAAUAUCUCUUGCUAAUGACGGUACCUGAAGAAUAAGCACCGGCUAACUACGUGCCAGCAGCCGCGGUAAUACGUAGGGUGCAAGCGUUAAUCGGAAUUACUGGGCGUAAAGCGUGCGCAGGCGGUUUUGUAAGUCUGAUGUGAAAUCCCCGGGCUCAACCUGGGAAUUGCAUUGGAGACUGCAAGGCUAGAAUCUGGCAGAGGGGGGUAGAAUUCCACGUGUAGCAGUGAAAUGCGUAGAUAUGUGGAGGAACACCGAUGGCGAAGGCAGCCCCCUGGGUCAAGAUUGACGCUCAUGCACGAAAGCGUGGGGAGCAAACAGGAUUAGAAACCCCUGUAGUCCC